This is a long non-coding RNA of Anguilla anguilla (European eel), 1502 nucleotides long. RefSeq lists it as uncharacterized. The transcript is spliced from 2 exons. NCBI's taxonomy places the organism in Eukaryota, Metazoa, Chordata, Actinopteri, Anguilliformes, Anguillidae. The record is from RefSeq and is a predicted model, not a curated record.
GCCUAACUAGAAGAAGAAAGCAGAAAAUGUCAAGAGAGCACCAUAGCUGGAGGCUGGAUAGCUGUGCUGAACUCAGUCACUGCCACUUUGGAGACAGAAUGGGAUUUCCUAGUACAACCCCUGACAUCUGUCACUUUCUACAGUGCACUCUUAUUUUCUCCUAACAGAUGUGGAACCAGCUUUCAUCUUCAACCAGCAUGUGGCUGGACAUACUAUACAAGACUGUUGUUCAUCCAUCCUUUCUGUUUCUCUCCUUCUUUUUCUUUCUUCCAGUGUAGAUGAUUGCUUUUAUGUUUAAGUUAAACAUUGUGCUUGGGAGCAUCAACAGAACAAUGGUUUGGUAAGUAUUUUGUACCCUUGAUUUAAUUGCUCAGGUCUCUAUGUUCAGAUGGGCAGUGGAGCAUAUGCGAUGGGAGUAGGUAUGCUGUGGGCCUUGUAGAUAGUGGCCCAUCAUAGGCUCAAAUAGCUAAAGACUAAGGUCUCUGGCAACUAAUCAUGUUUGCUGAGGUAAACUAAUACAUGCUAAUUAACUUGUUUCAGAAGAAGUACAAAUAAAUAAUGAAGCAUGUAAUGUAAGGCCAACAUAAUAUACUAAAAUAAUGAAGGAGACUAUUGUAGGUUUUACACCAAAGUUAAAUUUAUGUGUUCCUGCAAAAUGCUGUGUAUAUUUGCUCAUAGUAUCUUAAGCUGUCCUUUAGAGUUGGGUCACCUCGUCUUGUGCCAGAAAAACUGGAGUUACACUAGAGCUUGUUUGUCCUAGGAACUACCGCAAUUUGUUUUUUCUCCCUAACCCAGUGUGCAGGGGAUCCCUGCUGAACUUCUAGCCCCAGAAAUAAUUGCAGUUUGUGUAAAUGCACAACUGCACGUUUCAAAACCCCACUCAAAGAUCUGAUUCACUACAGAAAUAGUAGGUAAAUACUGUAGCAUCAGAGAGGCAGACUGUUUCAGCACGGCUGGCUGAUGAUGGAGCGCACCAAGUAUAAUUUGGAGACUCAGAAAGUGUCACUCAAAUAAGGAGAUCGGAGCCAAGAAGGUGAUUUAAAUGAUUGAUAACAUUAGGCAAAAAUAUAUUAAGCCAUUCUUAAUGGAUUUUCUCCUUUGAACCUAUAUUCAGCAUUAUCUGGCAAAUAGGUAGUACCGGUCGGAUGAAAAUACUAUGCAAGAGAGAUUCAUUAUGUGAGUUAUUUUUUUAUUUUAAAAUUGUCGUGAAGAUUGUGAUUGCGUGACUGGAAGUUUUUUUGGUGCUUAUAGACAAAGACUUUCAACAAGAACACAAAACGAAAUAAGUAUUAAAAUGUGUUCUUUUGUAGACAAGAACAGUGUGACGUAGUCUACACUCAUUGAACAACAGGUGUGCAUAACAAUUGAACAAAUACAGAAACUUAUCGUGGAUAAUGAAUAAGUUAUUUUAUUCUUUCUAGAGUAAUUGAUAAUAUUCUGUAUUUCUUCUGUACAGAGAACUCAAUAGAAAUGUUUAGUGAAUAAUUUAGAUUUUCACAUAA